Molecule: long non-coding RNA, 1004 nt
Filed under: Anas platyrhynchos platyrhynchos (common mallard)
Lineage: Eukaryota; Metazoa; Chordata; Aves; Anseriformes; Anatidae
Description: lncRNA (ENSAPLG00000029832.1)
Source: RNAcentral
UUUGAGAUGCUGAACGCGGAGCUGGAGGGGAACCAGGAGCUGGCCAACAGCCGCAUGGCCGAGCUGGAGAAGCUGCAGCAGGAGCUCCAGCAGGCCGUCAGGGGCCACGAGCGCCUCAAGGUGACCCCGGGGGGGCUUUGGGGACAUUGGGGGGGUCAUUGGGGACAUUGGGGGGGGUGUUGGGGACAGUUGGGGGGGCGUUGGGGUCAUUGGGGUUAUGUGGGAUAGCAGGGGGGUGGGAAGGGUUGGAGGAUCUCAAGAACGUUGUCAACAUUGGGGUCAUCAACGUUGGGGUCAAUGUUGCGGUCAUCAACGUUGGGGACAUCGUAAAUAUUGGGGUCAUUGUCAACAUUGGGGUCAACGUUGGGGACAUCAACAUUGGGGUCAUCAACGUUGGAGUCAAUGUUGGGGACAUCGUCAACGUUGGGGGGUCAAUGUUGGGGUCAUCAAUGUUGGGGACAUCAUAAAUAUUGGGGUCAUCGUCAACUUUGGGGUCAACGUUGGGGUCAAUGUUGGGGACAUCGUCAACGUUGGGGACAUCGUCAAUGUUGGGGUCAUGGUCAACAUUGGGGUCAUCAACGUUGGGGUCAAUGUUGGGGGAUCAACGUUGGGGAGUCAACGUUGGGGACAUCAGUGUUGGGGUCAUGGUCAAUGUUGGGGACGUCAGAGUUGGGGUCAUCAACGUUGGGGGGGGUCAACGUUGGGGACAUUGUCAACGUUGGGGUCAUCUACAGUGGGGUCAUGGUCAACGUUGGGGACAUCAACGUUGGGGAUGUCAAUAUUGGGGACAUCAUAAAUAUUGGGGAAACGGUGAAUGUUGGGGUGUCGGGGCCAUAAAUUUGGGGGACGUCACGAACGUUGGGGUCAUGGUGGCCGCUGGGGACACGGUGAACGUUGGCGACGUGAACGUUGGGGACACCAUAGAUAUUGGGGACACCGUAGAUUUUGGGGACAUUUUAGACAUUGGGGAUGUUGUAGAUAAUGGGGAAAAUGGCAAAUUUUUU